Molecule: small nucleolar RNA, 105 nt
Organism: Dendrobium catenatum
Lineage: Eukaryota; Viridiplantae; Streptophyta; Magnoliopsida; Asparagales; Orchidaceae
Source: RefSeq, a predicted model, not a curated record
AAGCAUGAUGAGGGUACUUUUAAGCAUCUCCCUGAAUCUUUCCCAUCUCUUAUAAAUUAACUCUCCAUUAAAUUGAGAAAAUGAAAUAAUAUCAUUCCUAAGCUU